RNAcentral lists this ribosomal RNA (436 nucleotides) under Bacteroidetes bacterium SCGC AAA027-N15. RNAcentral's name for it is "bacterial SSU rRNA". It matches the Rfam family "Bacterial small subunit ribosomal RNA", at positions 354 to 787 of the family's 1533-position model. The record is from RNAcentral. Lineage: Bacteria; Pseudomonadati; Bacteroidota.
GUGAGGAAUAUUGGUCAAUGGGCGCAAGCCUGAACCAGCCAUGCCGCGUGAAGGAAGAAUGUCCUAUGGAUUGUAAACUUCUUUUAUUUGGGAAGAAACCCCUCUACGUGUAGAGGUCUGACAGUACCAAAGGAAUAAGGACCGGCUAACUCCGUGCCAGCAGCCGCGGUAAUACGGAGGGUCCAAGCGUUAUCCGGAAUCAUUGGGUUUAAAGGGUUCGCAGGCGGUUCAUUAAGUCAGUGGUGAAAUCUCGAGGCUCAACCUCGAAACUGCCAUUGAUACUGAUAGACUUGAAUAUAGUUGGAGUAGGCGGAAUGUGUAGUGUAGCGGUGAAAUGCUUAGAUAUUACACAGAACACCGAUAGCGAAGGCAGCUUACUAAACUAUUAUUGACGCUCAUGAACGAAAGCGUGGGGAGCGAACAGGAUUAGAUACCC